AUUGAACGCUGGCGGCAUGCUUUACACAUGCAAGUCGAACGGCAGCGCGGGCUUCGGCCUGUCGGCGAGUGGCGAACGGGUGAGUAAUGCAUCGGAACGUGCCCAGUAGUGGGGGAUAGGCCGGCGAAAGCCGGAUUAAUACCGCAUAAGACCAGAGGGUGAAAGCGGGGGAGCGAGAGACCUCGCGCCAUUGGAGCGUCCGAUGUCGGAUUAGCUAGUUGGUGGGGUAAAGGCUUACCAAGGCGACGAUCCGUAGCUGGUCUGAGAGGAUGACCAGCCACACUGGAACUGAGACACGGCCCAGACUCCUACGGGAGGCAGCAGUGGGGAAUUUUGGACAAUGGGGGCAACCCUGAUCCAGCCAUGCCGCGUGCGGGAAGAAGGCCUUCGGGUUGUAAACCGCUUUUGUUGGGGAAGAAAUCCUGCGGGCUAAUACCCCGGGGUGAUGACGGUACCGGAAGAAUAAGCACCGGCUAACUACGUG
This 484-nucleotide ribosomal RNA is filed under the name uncultured bacterium. RNAcentral describes it as "partial 16S ribosomal RNA". It matches the Rfam family "Bacterial small subunit ribosomal RNA", at positions 29 to 507 of the family's 1533-position model. The record is from RNAcentral.